This 532-nucleotide ribosomal RNA is filed under the name Oryza sativa Japonica Group (Japanese rice). RNAcentral describes it as "rRNA LSU_rRNA_eukarya". It matches the Rfam family "Bacterial large subunit ribosomal RNA", at positions 184 to 573 of the family's 2925-position model. Lineage: Eukaryota; Viridiplantae; Streptophyta; Magnoliopsida; Poales; Poaceae. The record is from RNAcentral.
CUUAGCGAACUGAAACAUCUGAGUAGCUAAAGGAAGGAAAAUCAACCGAGACCCCGUUAGUAGCAGCGAGCGAGAGCGGAACAAGGGUUUUCAUCAAAAGAAAUCCGAAGCGGUUUCAUUCGAUUUGUUGUGGAUUGGAUGAUGGAAAAACCAGCAAGCAGCAAGCGUAGGCUGUGUUGCCGUAGUGCGCCCUACGGAGUUGUACAAAGUCAGCAACCGUUUUGGGGCGCAAGCAUAGGCAACACAGGACUGAUGACGGGGUGGGGCGCGCAGUGAACUGGUUUUCUAAAAAGAUUGGAAGAUCCGGCCAAAGAAGGUGAUAGCCCUGUUCAUUCGUUCCCAUGGUUCGAUCCUUCCCAGUAAAACGCGGCGUGUUCGAAUGAUGAUCGCUUUUACGCGAGAAAGGGGGACCACCCUCUAAGCCUAAGUAUUCCUCAAUGACCGAUAGCGUACAAGUACCGUGAGGGAAAGGUGAAAAGAACCCCAAUCGGGGAGUGCAAUAGAGAACCUGAGAUCCGAUGCGAACAAUCAG